RNAcentral lists this long non-coding RNA (359 nucleotides) under Nicotiana benthamiana. Its description in RNAcentral is "long non-coding RNA (NBEN_LNC016667)". Lineage: Eukaryota; Viridiplantae; Streptophyta; Magnoliopsida; Solanales; Solanaceae. The record is from RNAcentral.
UGCCACGCUUCAGGCGUGCAUUUGACUCAUUGGAUAUGACACUAGAUGAUUGUCCAACAGGGACAUCAAUACGGAUUGGAACGUUUUCCGCGGGAAUGUGGGAUUUUGUUAUCCUUUUCAAGUCCGUAAAUGCGUCAGGCAUUUGAUUUGUUAUUCUUUGCUAAUGGAUAAUAUUUUGCGCCUCUUUUUCACAAAUAGAGGUACAUGGAUCAAGAUGAGAUAAUGAUGCAUUUUUCUACAAAAUUUCCCGUUUGGCUUCACCAACUUCUCCCCCUAAUUUUGGGAAAAGUGUCUCAUCAAAUUGACAGUCUGCAAAUCGUGCAGUGUACAAAUCCACUGUCAAUGUUUCGAGGUAGUGA